AUCAUAUCCAUAAGUCUCCCGGGAAUCUGCAGGGAAAACAAAUGGGCCAGAGUGUGAAUGGAUAAUGCUUCACCAGUGGGAACCUGGGAACCAUCAGUCCAAGCCUUCAGCAGAAUGAUCCAUUCUAUUCAGCAUAAAAUGAGUUCUUUGGCAAAACAGAGGAAAGGCAGCUUAACCACCUACUCCUUGGCUGUAAGAUCUAUGGAUCUGGAAGGUGCUCAAGCAUAGUCCUGUGGACAUAUGGGAAGAUGCUUGAGGGAAUUCAUCUGAAGGUGAGUUGAAGCCACUUGGCCACAUACCUGCAAAUGUGGCUGUUUUUAAAGAUCUGGGCUUUUCCCCCAUUCCUCAGGUCCAUUCUUAAGAUGGCAACUGGAAGAGAAGGCUACUCUAGGAAGCUGGACACAGCAUCCAACACAAUACAGAUUAGAACAAGGACUCUUCAGCAAGCCCUGCUCCUUUUUGACAAAGAUCCAGGACUCUGUCCAGGUGAAAGACACAUGGCCCUGAGGUGAGCACCGCCC
Molecule: long non-coding RNA, 521 nt
Filed under: Sus scrofa (pig)
Lineage: Eukaryota; Metazoa; Chordata; Mammalia; Artiodactyla; Suidae
Description: lncRNA (ENSSSCG00070000101.1)
Source: RNAcentral